RNAcentral lists this long non-coding RNA (41229 nucleotides) under Ananas comosus (pineapple). RNAcentral describes it as "long non-coding RNA (ACOM_LNC015542)". The record is from RNAcentral. Lineage: Eukaryota; Viridiplantae; Streptophyta; Magnoliopsida; Poales; Bromeliaceae.
ACAAAAAAAAGUGCAGGAGUGGACCGUGAAUUACUUAAAAUUCUUUUAUUCAAAAUAUUUAUUUGGUAAUAAAAAAUAAAAAACCUGAAAAUAACUUUUUUUUCGUUUCCAAAAUUUUUUUCAAGAAAAUUGUAAUUUUUCACUUAGUCUGAUAUAUUACGAGCUAAACAAUCGUAAUAAUAAUAAAAAGUGGCCGUUGCUUAUAUAUACUCUUAAAAUUUUAGACUUUUUUUUGUUUAUCCCGUUCAGAAGGCUAAUAUACCUUUUUAACAUUCUAAGCCUUUUGAAAUGUAUUUUUAGAAUUAAACUUUGUUAGUGAACUAUUAUGAACGGACACUAUUUCUGUAAAAUUAUUAUUUUACUCUUUUAAAUAUACAUUUUUAUUAUUAUCAACUUUUCUUAGUUACUCUUAAGUAAGAUUAAAACAAACAUUUUGAUUUUGUGCCUUUCAAAUAUACUCUUCUAUCCUAACUAUCUUUUCUAUUUGUCAUUGAGUUAGGGGCAAAAGAGGUAUUUUAAUUUUUUCAGGUUAUGGUAGAAUUUUAUCGGGAUUUAAUCCAAGAUGACUUAACGGGUAUAGACAGUAGGAUUAGUCUUGAAUAACGAAAAAAUAUACGAGUAGUAUAUUUGAGAGAAAAAAAAAGAUAUAAAUAAAAUAUUUCAGAAGUUUUGAGGGGCAUAUAGAUAAUUCUCCCUAAUAAAAACAUCAAAUAAUAUAAAAUUGGUGUUUAAAAGGGUAAACAAAUAACAAUCAAUUUUAAAAAACAAAGAAAAAGCCAAGUUAACAACUCCUAAUUUCUAGAUAUAUCUCAAUAUCACUCUUAAUUCAUAAAUAAUUACUAAUAAUCAAAAGCACUAUUAGUACUAUAAUUAAAUAGCUAUAUAAAUAAUUAAGGUAAAUAUCAUGUGAUUAAUUAAUUUGUUUCUCAUUAAAUGACUAUAUAUUAUCACACAUAAAAUGAAGAAGAUAAAUCUAUUAGUUUAAAGGGAUAAUUGCCUAUGUACCCCUUAAAACUUCGAAAAUAUCUCAUUUAUCCCUACUUUUUUUUUAUUCUUUCUAAUAUAUCCCUCAUAUGUACCCUUGUUAUUCCAAAAUACCCCUACAGUUACCACCAGUUAAGUUAACUUGGGUUAAACGUGAGUUAAAUAUUUACCAUAGUUAAAAAAAUUAAAAUAUCACUUUUGCCCUUAACUUAAGAGCAAAUAAAAAAUGUUGGUAAUGCUAGAAGGGUAUAUUUGAAAAGACUAAAAAGUAAAAUACUUUUUGUACCCCUAAUUUAAGGGCAAAUAAGAAAAAUCAGUGAUGGUAGAAUGAUAUAUUUGAAAAGGCAAAAUAAUAAUUUUAUAGAGAUAAUAGAGUUCAUUAACAAACUUUAACUAUGGGGUAUAUUAGAAAUAGAUUGGAACGUAAAAAAGAGUAUUUUCAAUAUUAGCCUUCUAAGAGGGGUAAAUCAGAAAGUCGAAAACUUUUCAGGAGUAUAUAAGUAAUUGUCCCAAGUUUAAAAGAAUUACAUGAAGCAUGCACAAAAUAUUUAAUUAAACCUCAAGCUAAUGAAUAAAAUUAAUUGUAUGGUGAAUAUGAAGAGAAAUGGAGUGUAAUUUACAGGUUUUUCGUGAAUCCCAAGCUGAGCCCAAGUUAUGACUUCAAGGAGCUCUUCCAAUGUCCCAUACCCACCUAAUCAAUCACUCAAAAAAAAAGAAGCAUAUACCACAUAGAUUAAUUAACUAAUAAUUUAAUUAAUUUAUAUUUAAAUUAAGUACUUUUUAAAAUAGUCACUUUUGCUUGAGCUUUAAGCAGCAGCAAUUAAUCUUUACUAAAGCAUUUGGUAGAAACAGAUUCUGAGUAUGACAAGCAAAGAUUCUAAUCAGAUGCUUCUGCUACUGUUGCAGAAAGAGUUUAUAUUUUGAACUUGAAAUUAAAUAAGAUUCUGAUACUGAAAAAAAGCAGAAGCUGUAGUUUUGUGGGGUUUAAUUGAACCAAUGAACUGAUACUGUAAUAGUUGAGGAUUUAGGACCGAUUCUGAUAUAUAUCAUAUUAUAUAAUCUAAAAUAAUUCUAAGAUAUUAUCGAAAGAAAGGCGAAAUGGGAUCGAGGCGAUGAUUGAGCUUCGUUCGAGAUGCGAAAAAUACCAGGCAAGGCGAUGAAGGCGUCGGCCUGGCGUGCCAUCUCGGCCUUCCUUUGGUGCAUGUCGGAGACCGCUCUCACCUCUCCGACUGUAACUCCUGUUAUCUGCUCGCAUUCAAAAGCUCACAAAUUUUAAUUUUUUGAUUAAACUUAAUCUCAAUCUAUAGGAAUAACUAGAUAAACAUGGUCUCCUUUUCUAAUUAUACAUUGAGAAGUGAAGUUUAAAUCAUUUAAUACUGUAAUUAAAUGAUAAGUUCUGCUCUAUCAAUAUCAGUGUCGCAAGAGCAGAAUAUUUAAAAGAGGAGAUAAGAUGGAAUGGAGUGCUCCUACCUCUUUGGGCAUUAGAAUCUUGGGGAUAACCCUGCAACAAACCAAAAAUACAUAGCUUCAAUCUUGUUGAUUAAAUGAGAGAGAGAGAGAAAGAGAGAGAGAGAGAGAGUACACACCCCAAUACAUGGCGACCACCAUUAUAAACAGCUUGAGAAACAAGCCCCAUGAGUCCAACACUUCCCCCUCCAUACACCAAAUCUAUGUUCCUCUCCACCUACAAUAAAUCAACAACAAAAAAAAGAGAGUGAAAAUUAACAACAAAGUAAUAAGUUAUAUAUAUAUAUAUAUAUAUAUAUAUAUAUAUAUAUAUAUAUAUACAUAGUAGAUGUAUAAUUGUGUGUAUAAAUAUAAAUAUAUAUAUGUAUACCAAUUCAUGGCCGAGUUGGAUCGCGGCGAGUUGGUAGCUCGGCUUCUUGCCGGAGCUGCUGCCGCAGAAGACGCAGACACGCUUGAAGCGCGACGGCAGCGGCGAUUGCGAUUGCUUCUGAGCUUGCACUGCAUAUUCUUCUGUUUCCAUGCUAUAUAUGUUUGUAUUGUAUAUGUAAACUCUUCUUAAUUUCUCUUUUCCUCUAUCUCUCCCUUAUCUCUCUCUAAAAUAAGGGAAGCAUAGAAAGAAAUUAAAAUAGAGCACAAGUAGUCUUUUUUUGCCCCCCCAAAGAUAUUGGAUAUGUUUUUUUAAGUCUUUGUUAUUCCUCUUCCCUGCUUAAAAAGGAAAGGCCCAAGCAAAACCGCGUCCACCGCUUAUGACGUCCCGCUUUUCAGGAGGUUAUUCAUCUUUCAAAUUGUUCUAGUCCUAAAUCGUAUAAUCUUUUAAUCUUUUGAGUUUAACUAUCGCCGAAAACGCUAUAAUUGGAUUAAGAGGUUCUAGUCUUAUUUUAUCUUAUAUAUAGAAAUAUUUCAAAUUCUAAAAAUGCCACAUUUUCUCUCUUUUUAAGUCCUAAUGUUCUAGUUAAACUCAAGCACGCCUAAUUACAAGUACCGGUCGACGUGAGAGUCAUAUUGCUAAUCUUAGCUGAUUUUAACAGGAGCUGCGCUAGCUUCACUUACAAUGAUCGUCAGUCGGAGAGCCACGCUUACUCGUCAUAUGACCCUAUUUCAGUCGAGACACGUCUCACAUUUUCGAAAGAUGAUUUGCUUCGAUAUCAACUAUGACGAUCCCUUUGUAGGAGAAUCUUUAAUCCUAGAACCACUCUAUUUUUAACAUGUUUAGUUUUUCUAACUUUUUGGAUCACUAUUUUUUUUUUUUUCAAAAAAUGAUAUAUUUUUUUUACAUAUUAUAGAAUGCUGUCUUUACUCACCGUUCAUUAAAUUUUAGAUUCAGGUAAAUGAUGCACUAAAAAAAUAAUUUGUAAAAAUUUUAUUCCAAAACAGUUUAUAAAAAGUUUCGUUUUCUUUAUAAAUAACAUUUUAAGAAAUAUAGCAGUAAUUAUUUAUUUAUUUAUUUAUUUUAUGCUGUUGUUGGGACAAUUUACAAACAAUCAAUCAAUAUCUUAUGUAUUUGUUGUUUACAACUUGAUGACGCGGUUUCCUCUGGAAAAAUGAAUGUCGCAUGCAUUCCAUUGGUUCCGUAAAGAGUGGAAAAUAGAUACCAUACGGAUAGGGUUAUUAUAUAUAUCAAGGGUUUCAAUAUUCUUUUUCUUUCUUAAUAUAUAUAUAUAUAAAAAUCAAAUAUUUAAUUUUAUAUGCGAAUUCUCAAAGUGUAGUUUUAAUUUUUAAGUUUUUAAAUGCAAACAAAAUUCAGAAAAAAAAAUAAGGAUUCUCAGUCGGAACUGAUCCAUGCUAACCAUUUUGGACCGAUCGAGAAAUUCCUUAACGGAUUGAGUUUCUCCCGAACUCCCAUACGACCGUCAUGGUCCAUUUGGCAUUCGUAAUAUCCUAGUACGCCAUCAAGUGCGAUUAAUUUACUCAGUUUCUGUCGUUUAGGGAGUAUCAUUUUUUUUUUUUUCUAAUUUGACGUUAUUUUUGUUUUAAAUCCGUUGGAUGGAUGAAUGUAUGGAUUGGAAGCACGCUCGUAACUCAGAUUCGUAUCAUUUCUUAUAUCGAUUAAGUUGACCAAAUCACAUUACAAAUCUAAUCUCUAAAGAUCUUGUGGAAACAUCAAGAAUACUCAAAUCCUAUAUUUUAUCAAUUCAAGCACUUAAAACUUCUUUUUCUCUUUUUCCUUCCCCCCAAUAUAAAAGCAUUAUCAAGAUUUCAUGAACCUUCAUGAAUUUUCCAAAAAAGGACACACAAUGAAAGAGAUUUCCAACAUAUGUGAUCACAAAAAGCACCACUCCUUUCAUUUUCUAGAAAAGCAUGUUUAUAUAAUUUUUGCCUUUUUAGCCCACAAUAUAUUUUCAACAAUUUAAUUUCACUACCUAAACCUUAUCCUUUAAACCUUUUCCUAUGAACAUGAUACCUAAUUGAUCAUCCUCAUGUUUCCUUGUGUCUUUUAGUUUUCCGACAUAUACACGAUGUUUCUAGCGAUCUUAACUCAUCAUCAACCCGUCAAAAUCCGAUCCAAAUACGCACAAACUAAUUUCAAAUCGUGAUCCAAAUAAUUGAAUUCGAUUUUUCGCAAUCAAGAUCUAAUCGGGAUCGUGGUUUUCUAAACUAAUACCUUAUGUUCACAUCAAAUUUAAUGCUGAAUAAUAGUAAAUCCUUAAUAGGUCUAAAAACGUCUAUAUAUAGUACCUGUUACUGAUACCAUACAUGUUAUUUAAAGAUUGGUACAAUUAAAAAAAGUUUUAAAAUAGUCUCAACAUACAUAACCCAAUUUAGUUCCUUUCAUAUAUCCCAGCUUAGAAACUAGUUGUGUNGGGGCGCAAUUGUUUAUAUACCCCUGAAAAGUUUCCGACUUUUCGAUUUACCCUUCUUAAAAGGCUAAUAUUGAAAAUGCGCUUUCUACGUUCCAACCUAUUUCUAAUAUAUCUCUCGAAUUAAAAUCUAUUAAUUAAUUCUGUUAUUUCUGUAAAAUUACUAUUUUGUCCUUUCAAAUAUACCCUUCCACCAUCAUUGACUUUCUUAUUUGCCCUCAAAGUCAGGGGCACAAAAAAUAAUUUGACUUUUGAUCUUUUCCAAUAUACCUCUCUAUCGUCAUCAACAUUUCUUAUUUGCCCUUAAGUUAAGGAUAAAAUUGAUAUUUUAAUUUUUUUUUAACUGUGGUAGAUAUUUAACUCACGUUUAAUCCAAGUUAACUUAACAGGAGAUAACUGCGGGAGUAUUUUGCAAUAACGGUGGAACAUAUGAGGGAUAUUUAAGAAAGAAAAAAAAGGGGAUAAAUCGGAUAUUUUCAAACGUACGAAGAGUAUAUAGACAAUUAUUUUUUUAUUUUUUUAUUUUUUUUUCCAAGACAGAGAAUGUGUGGAGGUGAUUAUUGAAAUGGAAACUAAAUACGUGGAUAGGGCAUCAAAGUGAGUAUUCCAUAAUGAGUGGUGAAUGAUAUGGCACCAUUUAUUAAUCAAAGUGUGACAUGUGUAUGAUUCCACUUUUGCCCCUAUCCAAAGAGCAUGAUAGGGACACAAAUUGGGUCCAUUUCACGCAGCAACAAUGUGCCAUGUCCAUAUACAUAUUUAUUGCAGUAAUUUUAAUAUGAUAACCUUAAUAGCUAAGUUAGCACGAAUAUUGAAGUAUUUCGAAACAAACCAAUGACUAAAUUUGUGUAAACACCGAGAACAUGGUUUGAUUAACCGUUGGAUCAGUUGGUAGGUACGGUGUAAAAAUAGUAGUAUGAUAAAUAAAGAUAAUUAACUAAAAAAAUAUUAUUUUUUGGUUCUAAAAGCGCAAACAUUUGAUCCAAGAAGUGCGAUUUUAUGCUAAUUUUUUUAUAUUUGUUUUUGAAAGAGUUUUUUUUUUUUUAAAAAAAAAAUACUACUACACACUUUUAACAUUAUUAUUAUGCUUCUAGACUAGAUGUAGACCCCCACGACGUAGACCGCCACAAACAUAAACAUUUCCACAUGCAUGUACGAAAUCGAUAAAAACUUAAUUAGUAAUUAUUUUGUAAAGAAAAUAUUAGUGACCAAGAUGCUCUAAACAAUAAUUAGUAGGAAAAACUUAAAAUUAACCCCCUAUGAUAUAAAAGGUUUUACUUUGUUGCCAUGUGAUUUUAUUUGUAUUUUACCAAACAAUACUAUGUGAAAUAGGAUUGUAAAGUGAAUUUUUUUUUUAAAAAAAAAAUAACAGAAUGGUAAAUAAAAAUUACGUUAAAUAUAAGAAGGUAAAGUGAAAAUUUUUAUUUCUAAAGUUGUGGAAUUAUUCCUGUUUGUUUAAUAAGGAAGAGAAUGACGUAAAAGUUUAAAUUUUCUAUUGUUAGUAUCUUAUCAUUUUUUCCUCACUAUUUUUUUUCAUAAUUGGCUUCUGCCAACCGUCAACUGUAGCCAAUUACGGUAUUUUGAGAUUUGAAUUUCGACGGAAGGUGAUGUUACCGUGAAUCGAACAAUGGACGUGGGUAGUUACGAUCGAAAAUCACUUCACCUCUCUCCACUUUUGCUGAAACAAACACACCCUUAAUUAGUUGAAAACAACUUAGAAGUUGAUUUGUGCUCACACACAUUGUGGAUACCAGACACACAUAGUGGAUACCAGAUGAAUUGUGUUGCCGAUAUAGAUAUUGAUCGUAGAAUCUCUUAGAAUAGAGAGGCUUAGGGCUACUUGUAAUAUUUAAUAUUAUAUUAUCCAAAAGAUCUAUUUAGUACGAAAUGAUCUAGAAUUCGCUUUAACAAGCGAUCGCCCACAUAUAUAGCAAUAGUUAACUAAAAGUGACCGUCCUAAGCACAAUAUGGCAGUUUUUGAUGAUUGGUAUCCGAGAUCACAAGUUCGAAAUUCAAACUUAGUUUUAAAAUAUGAUGAAUAAAAAUACAUAUCGUUUUUACUAUAAAAGACUAAAAGUGUCACGUCCCGGAUUAUACGUUCUCCAGGCACGCCGACAAAUCCGCCGUAUACAAAGAAAUUUUUCCUGUAUACGAAGCGAUAGCUGUACCUGUAAAUCAUACAAUACUACAAACAGUAGUAUAGAGCUGCUAGAAGAAUCAGAAAUAAAACAAACCGAUUUCCAUAUACAUACGCCAAAAUUCAAGAUACAAAACUACUCACACUGGCGAGUUAAAUAUGUAUGUACAUGAACUCCAACAAAAAAAAAAAAAAAAAAAACUACCUGCUGUAGGGGCACCUCUAGCUCGGCUCGUCGAGUAGGGCUCUAACUCGCGACGCCCUUACCUCGAUCCAGAUUAGCAACAACAGCAGCCGAAGACGAAGGCUUUGCAAAAACGGGAUAACAACAGGGCGUGAGAACUACUGUAAAACAAGUAGUCCUCAGUGGGUGCCGCCCUCAACAUCAUCGGUCCACCCACUAAGUCUACAGAUUUAAGCUCAGUGAUAGAAAAUGAAGCUGGAAUAAAUCUACAGCUAUAUGCCACUAUUUUAACAUGAUCCAAUACUACUAUCUGUCGAGUAAUGCAGCCUCAGACCUAAAUCCGUAGGGACUGUGAAAACACCCGUCCCAGGGACUGUUAACGCACCCGUCCCGCCUAUCGAAUCCUAAAUGCUACCUCCACACUAACAAGUCCGUGGAGAGCAAGUCCAACCAGGAUACUAUACAACGCAAACGCACAAAGCCCAACUCCGGAGUGGCACUCGUGGGCGCUACCCAACCGAGUAUGCAAGCGUAUCUCUACUGAGCUCAAUCAGGCUCUCACAGGCUAUAAUCAAGUAAACAGGGUCCAACUGGUCUAACAAUCAAGACUCACGUGCUCUCGGCACAAGCUGAUGCAAAACCCGCAAUCUGGUCCACCGUCAACCCCGACGGCACCCGACAGUCUGAAACAGCCUAGACACUGCUGUAAAAAAAAUAAGCUCUGCGUCUCCGCCCGAGCGUAACUGUAUUCUACACUAUUCCGGGUAUUCACCACCAACAAACUACGGUGAUACAGUUCUACUACAGCUCCUAAGCUUUCAGCGUAUCAAAAGCACACAACAGUGUGGAUACUAUCUGCGACAACUCUCGAAGUUAUCUGAGUAUCAAAUGCACACUAACAGCGGAGAUACGAAGCACAACAGCUUCAGAAGCUAUCUGAGUAUCAAUUGCGCACUAACAGUGGGGAUACGAAGCACAAAAGUUUAAGGAGCGAGCAGAAAAGACAGUGUAGAACCUACAGUUAAAUAUUACCCAAGUUCGGCAUCCCAGUACGAGUGUAACUGAAAACUAAACUACUUGGAGUAUCCGCCGCCUCGAUACUUCGACGAUACAAAAUACAACGGCUCCUAGAGCUAAAUCAGGUGUGUAAACAGGUGACAGGUCUAAAUUGCUGAUUUUCUCCUAAGUCAAAUUCCAAGUGCAACAUGUAUAUUUAUGGUUUACUAAUCAUGUCCUCAAUGCUGAUUUCAUCCAUAAUACAAUCAACGAAAUUAAGCUAUAACAUGAUUUACAAAAAUUGAAAAUUAUACAUGUCGACUAAUACUGUGCUUAGGAAUAAACCGAUGUAACCCACCUCGAGAGCUAAUCCCUGGCAGCAAAGAACCCCCUCAGCUGCGGAACAACCUGCUGGAUCGAUCGAAGUCCUCCAAAUCCAGAAAUCGAGCUAACUCCAAGCUCUACAAUCAAAAUCCAUCAAUUCUGUCCACGUGUAGCAACAGCAGAGUAAAACAAAGAUUCGACAAAGCUAACCUUCACCAAAUCCUGUAAUCUUAGGUUUCGUGGAUUCCUCUCGAAGUCCUAAAUCCAACGAACCAAGUUUCGUCGAAAUCCGACUCUCCUACGUCGCGUGUGAGCCGAAACGCCGACGGUCGACGCGGUAAUUCUGCAAAACAGCAUCUUAGCUCGAAAUUGAUGGAGCUUGAAGUAAUUGAAGUGAUUUCGAUGGAUCACUCACCUCGAAAACCUCUCAGAAAUCGGCGUAACAUCAAGGAUGGCAGAAAACCACGCUCACCCAGCCUCCUCGCAGCACCACGACGCAGAAAACACACUCAAAUGGCACCGCGGCGCGACGUCGGCGACAAAUGAACUCCACCCGAGCUCCCCCUCGCCUACCGUCCAAGCUAGAGAGAGAGGAGAAGAAGGACAGUGAAAACUCUCUCUCUCUCAGCUCUACACAAGCCUAAAUAGAGAGAGGGAAAGGGUGAUACGAACGAGGUGAAAAAAGACCAAAAAGUCCUCCUACCUACCCUGGCGUAUCGGUACACGGGCUAGUGUAUCGGUACAAGAAGCCAACCCGAGAGCAGUUUGCGCGUAACCUGUGCAGUGUACCGGUACACCAUACUUGCAGUAUCGGUACAGCAAGCAGAAAAAUAGCUAUUUGCAGAUUUUUCUUGCUAAAUGCUGCUCUCGCGUCGCACAGAGUCCGUUUUGCGUCUAUUUCACGCCAACGCGACUCAGACUUGUCCCGACACUCUCCAGAGUUGUCGACAAGCCUCAACUGCCAAACACCAGAGAUCUCACAAAAAGAUUUUAAAGGUACGUGCUUGUAAUCUUUCGUCCUCCAAUGUUUUAAAAUUACGAUUAUGAUCGCUGCCGGAGAAGCAUAUAGCCACAUGGUAGCCGGAGAAGCAUUUAUAUUAUUUUAUAAUAUAAAAUAAAAAAAAAUUGAAAACACUUUUUAAAAUUUUGAGUCCUUCUAUAAUAUAAAAAUAGUGCUAUUAGCAAUUGUGGCUUCACAUUACUAAAUUAGGCCCUAGUUGCUUCACAUUUUCAACAAGUGCAUUUUAAAAUAAUGAAUGAAGUGAAUAGCAUGUUGUUUUUCUUUCAAAGAAAAAAAAAAAGUUAAGCAAACAAAGCAAAUGCAUAAAUUCAUACAUAAAGAAAGAAGCAAGAAAUUAAUGCGCAUGAGAAAAUAUUUUUAUUGGUUCAUCUCAACAUGAAUGGCAUUAGAUAUAUUUUUGAUUCGCAUAUUAAUAUGUUUUGCAAACAUUAAUUAAACUCAUUAGGUUCCAUUUUAAGAGAAACAUAACAUCCUUUAGCACAAUUAACGAACGUCACGCAUGACGUCACACGAAGGUCUCGAAAUUAUAAAGAAUAUUAUAAGAUCAUACCUUAUGAUAUGUCCUAACUAAUAGUCAAUUAAAUCAAGCGUUUCAAAUGAUAAAAUAAUAUUAUGAGAUCAUAUCUUAUGAUAUGUCAUAACUAGUCAAUUAAAUUAAACACAUCACUUAAUCUCUUUUACUUCACAUUCUUAUGGAUUAAGGCUUCUACAUGUUAUUAUAUCCAAAAUAGAAAAGCAUUUUUCUUUUCUCUUAUUUGCACUUUGUGAGUUAUAUGCCCUUUUUUUAUUUACAAAUUCUAUAAACUCUUAGUCAAAGUUUGACUCUAAUUGAUCUCAUCAUGGCUCACCUUAAAUAGAAGGUUAAUUUCAAAUUAUUUCAUUGUUUAAUUACAUGUAUAUAUGAUACAUCAUCCAUGUUAAUUUAGUAUACCACUUACAAUUAAUUGUUCUUAAUAAUUUGAAUUAUUGUAGCAUGUUUAGGAUCCCUCAAUGAAAAAAAUCUAGGGCUCAGAUGAAUCUAUUGUACUAAAGCAUUAUCGUAUAUAAGACCUACAUUUAAUGAACUUUCACUAGCUACAACAAUUUUAUUCUAAUUACAUUAAUUAAUUUGAUUAUAUGAAACAUUAAAUGAUUAUAAAAUAGAUUUUAUUGCAAUAAUUUGUGCUGUUGUGAUAAAACAAAUCAUAUUAUUUAGCCAUUUACUGCUACAAAAUUUAUAGCAAUGAUUUGCAAUAAUUUUUAUUUGUUGCAAACAAUUAAUUAUUAUUGCAACUCAUAGUUAUCAAUUGCAACAACAUUUAUUAUUAAAAAAGAACUUAUUUCUAGUAGUGUUUAUUUAAUUAAUUUUAUUCCAUUUACUUAUAUUAGCACACAAAUAUAAUCAUUUAAAUGUUAUCAAUGGUUGAUGGGUACUUUUUUUUAAAAAAAAUAAUGGAGAACAUUAUUGGUUUCAUUAGAGUGUUACAAUCUUCAAACUUGUCGGAAUGCACCCAAACAUUUGACCAAACACAUUGCAAUUGCUUUUCUUUAUUAUAUUUUGAUAGUUUAACAACUUCUUACAUAUCAUAUUACAUAUAUUAAUCUCACUAAUAAUUAUGAAUUUUAUAUAUAUAAUCAUUCAUUGCUUUGCAUUUUCCUAACUACUACUACUUACCAAAACUUAAUUAACAAGUCAUUUGUUGUAUCAUUAAGGAUAAUAUUUUGGUAACUUCAAGUGACAAGGAGGUGCAGUAGAAAAACAACUUUUGUAAUGAGUUUUGGUUUAUAUAUAUAUAUAUAUAUAGAAUUGAGCUCCUAUGCUUUUAAAAGUACCAAGUCAUUGGUGCUUGUAAGUUUUUAGCCCUUGGAUUAAGGAAUGUGCGGUUAUGAUGAUGUGGGCCCUCUAGGGUUGAGUGAGUGGUUGGUUGAAUAGUAUAAUCUAACAGAUAAAAAUGAUCAAAGACGUUAGAUUUAACGGUAAAAAAUUUACAAGUACCAAAUGCUUGGUGCGUUUACAAGCACCAUAGCCGGACUCAUAUAGAAUUGAGCUACUAUUAUAUAUAUAUAUAGAGUUGGACUGGGCUACUAUUAGUAGCAAAAUUCCAUUGUUGCUACCAAUUUUUUAGCCUUUGGAUCAACCCUUUUCAUUAUUUCUAACCAUUGGAUUAAAUACUAUAACCCAGUGGGGACCACUCAUCCCUAGGGGGACCACUCAACUCUAACUGACUAAUAUCAUCCUGACCUUACAAUUUUUCAUCCAAGGGUUAAAAACUUGAUAGCAAAAAGAGUGUUUUACUAUUAAUAGUAUUCCAGCCUAAUUCUUUAUGAGUUGGACUGGGCUACUAUUAGUAGCAAAAUUCGAUUGUUGUAUAUAUAUAUAUAUAUAUAUAUAUAUAUAUAUAUAUAUAUAUAUAUAUAUAUAUAUAUAUAUAUAGUUGAGCUAGAAUGCCAUCGAUAACAAACGGGCUUCGUUGCCACCUAGGGGUGGAAACGAGCCGAGCUCGAGCGAGCUUACCUCGGCUCAAAUUCGGUUUGAAAUUAAUUUCGAGCCUAAAUUUAAGCUCAAGCUUGGAUUGAAAUUAAUUCGAGCCGAGCUCGAGCGAGCCUAAUUUCAAGUCGAGCGAGCUCGAGCCCUAAACGAGCCGCUUGAAAUUCUCAACAUUAUACGCUCAAUAGUUUAAUUUUUAUAGAACAUUAUCUAUAAUUUGAUACAAAAAUAUGUCUAAUAGUUUAAAGUACAAAAUAAUUAUAUGAAAUAUAGUAUUAUAAUAUGAAAAAAAUAAUUUAUGAGUUGAAUAUCUAAUUUUUUUCAGUCUCACAUGUCUUUUCUUCCGCCUUCAAUCUCUAUAUUAUUAAUUUUUAUUUAUGCAGUCAAAAAUAAAUAAAUUAUAUAGAUAAAUAUUAGAUUAAACUAUCCAAUUAUAUAUAACUAAAAUUAAAAUUUUAUAUGAAUAAUAAUUUUUUACUUUAAAAAUAUUUUGUAUAUUUUCUCAAGCACAUAAUUAAUAGCAAGGUAGGCAACGGCAGGCAUAUGAUGUUACUUGAUAACUUAGAGGGCUUCCGGCUUGGCCAUUUAGGGUGAGAGACAGAAAAAAAGAAAGAGAGAAACAUAUUGAAAAUUUAAAGCUCUGUGAAGGAUCCGAUCAUCCAUUUUUAAGAUGUCGUUCGAUUUUGACUGUUCAUUUUAUACCCACUUGAUGAACUUUAUUAUGAUUUCAAAAAGUUACAAAAUUUAUUUUCUACAAGUUUCAAAUAUUUUAGAUCAUAUUUAAUUGAGUGGAUCGUCGAUUCGGAAGCUCCAUUAUUGAAAAUAAAUUAUAAGUACGAAGGACUCUAUACUCAUAAGAGUAUAGUAACCCUACUAUAUAUAUAUAUAUAUAUAUAUAUAUAUAUAGAGUAGGGCUAGAAUACUUGUAAAAGUAUCACCCAAGUGAUACUUGUGUGUUUUUAGCCCUUGGAUGGAGAGAUGUGAGGUUGAUAUGAUGGGGGUAGGUGGUGGUAGGUGGUGGUAGGUGGAAUAGUAUUUGAUCCAAUGGCUAUUAGUAAUCAAGGAGUAGAUCCAAGGGCUAGAAACCUAAAAGCACCAAUGGGGUGAUACUUGUAAAGAAUCCCUAGAUCCAACUAUAUAUAUAUAUAGUAUAUAUAUACUUAUAUAUAUAUAUAUAUAUAUAUAUAUAUUAUAUAUAUAUAUAUAAUAUAUAUAUAUAUAUAUAUUAGUCUGGACUGGGCUACUAUUAGCUAGCAAAAUUUUAUUGUUGCUACCAAUUUUUUAGCCUUUAGAUCAACUCCUUUUCUAUAUUUCUAACAUUGGAUUAAUACUAUAACCCAGUGGGACCACUCAAUCCUAGGGGGACCACUCAACUCUAACCGACUAAUAUCUCCUGACCUUAUAAUUUUUCAUCCAAGGAUUAAAAACUUGAUAGCAAAAAUAGCGUUUUACUAUUAAUAGUAUUCCAGCCUAAUUCUAAUAUAUAUAUAUAUAUAAUAGGGUCCGGCCUACUAUACUAUAUGAGUACGAUCGCUUUCGUACUCAUAAGUUUUUCGAUGAUAGAGCUUCUGAAUCGACGAUCCACACCAUUAAACGUUUAUUAUAAUAUUUAAAACUUUUAGAAAUCAAAUUUUAUAGUUUUCGACCAUCAUUUACCUUACGAUCAACGAGAUCACAAAUUGAAAUUUUUAACGGCCGGUAUGAAUAUUGUAGUUUAAAGGUUGUAAAAGAAUCGGAAUUUGUUGAAUUUUUGAUGAAAAUUCUAUUCAUACAUAGAUAAGAUUCAAUAACAUCCGAUCUUGAAUUGAAGAUCCAUCAUCCUUUUUUAGGACGUCGUUCGAUUUUGACCGUUCAUUUUAUGCCACUUGAUGGACUUUAUAUAUUUCGAAAAUUUACGAAAUUUUUUCUAGAAGUUUCAAAUAUCUAGAUCUAUAUUUACGGAGGUGGUAUCAUCGAUUCGGAAGGCUCCAUCAUUGAAAACAACUUCAUGAGUACGAGGGCUCCAAUACUCAUAAUAGAUAGUAGCCAUGGCUAUAUAUACAUUAUAUAUAUAGAGUGAGGCUACUAUGCUAUCGGAAGCACGGAGCCUUCUGUGCUUCCAGCUCCGUUUUCGAUGUUUGCGACUUUUCGAAUCGUCGAUCGGCUCCGUUAAACUUAGAUCUAGAUAUUGGAGUACCUAGAAAAUAAAUUUUAUGAUUUUACGAUAUCAUUUGCCUAGUGAUCGAAUGCUCAAAAUCAACAAAUUUCAAUGGCCGUAGUGAGCCGUUUGCAAGUUUAACGUGUAGAAAAUAUCCAAAUCACGUGAAAUUUUGAUAGAAAAUUCUUUAUACUAUAUAAAACAAGAUCAAUAUCUUUGAUUUAAAUUUUAAUGUCAUAUUAUUACAUUUUGUAAGAUUUUUAUUUUUUCAGCUCGUUGAUUUUGAGCCCCUCUCUUUCACUAGGCAAAUGAUAUCGUUAAAAUCAUAAAAUUUAUUUUCUAGGUACUUCAAAUACUCUAGAUUAAGUUUAACGGAGCCGAUCGACAAUUCGAAGUCGCAACAUCGAAAAUGAGCUGGAAGCACGGAGCUCCGUACUUCCGAUAGCAUAGUAGCCUCACACACUCUCUCUCUCUCUCUCUCUCUCUCCUCUCUCUCUCUCUCUCUCUCUCUCUCUAUAUUAUAUAUAUAUAUAUAAUAUAUUAUAUUAUGUAGAGCUACUAUCCUAUUAAUAGGAUUAGAGCACUUGCUCCUAAACAUUAUUCCUUGGAUGGAUCGAGAGUGUGUUGGAUGAUCGGAGGAACCGUGAAGUCGAUCUACGCAUAUUGAAAUAUCUAGAAACUAAAUUUCAUAAAUUUUAAAAAUUAUUUACAUGGUGAUCAAAGUGUCGUAAAAUCGACAAUUUUUGACGGCCUAUAUGAGCCGUUUGCUUGUUUAACGGUGUAGAGCAAUCCAAAUUGCUUGAAUUUUUGAUAGAAAAUUUUUUAUACUAUUUAGAUAAUGUUUGAUAACUCUGAUUAUGAAUUGAGAAAGUCUAACCUCUAUUUUAAAAAGGUUAUUUAUUUAUGACCGUUCAUUUUUUAACUCUUAAGAUGAACUUGAUAAUGAUUUUUAAAUAUUACAAAAUUUGGUUUCUAAACAUUUCUAAUUGUGUAGAUCAAUUUCAACGGUGCCGAUUAUCAAUUUGAAGUUCCGAUCAAUCAAAACGACUUGAUAGGACAAUGGCUCCAAUCCUAUUAAUAGGAUAGCAGCCGGACUCUAUAUAUAUAUAUAUAUAUAUAUAUAUUGGGCAUUAAUUGAUUGGACCAUGAUUAAUCCUACAUGUUAUGGGUUAAAAAAGGUUUUUAUUUUUGCCUUCCUCUGUAAAGUUUCAUUGCUAUGCUAGUCAUAGUUAGUAGUGUUUAAUGUUUAAGCUUAGGUAUUAAGUAUAAUCUAUUUAGACUUAUUAUAUACCCUUAUACCUAUUGUAGCUAUUCGAUAUAGGACUAUCAAGCCUUGAGAUGUCACAAACUCCUCACAUUUUAUUCCCUGACGUUCACGUCACACAUAAUCACCUGGUGAUGUGUGAUUUAUCUUUGUCAUUCAGAACCUGACUUAACUUGUUGUUUCAAGAACCUAGCUCAGUAGCGACUCAUCUCUCCUUGUACCCUUGUCAUUCAGAAUCCUGCCUUAACUUGUCGUUUAAAGAAUCUAGCUCAGCUUAGAUUUGUCUCAUAUAUCACUAGAGACUUGUCUGUGGUUUUUAUGCUCUGAUAUUCUCGUUAGACAUAAUCACCAGGUGAUGACGUUUCUAGCUCGUCAGACUUAAUCAUUAGGUGAUGUGAGAUUUAUCCACGAUUUUUAUACCCUAAUGUUCUCAUCAGACAUAAUCACCACUUGAUGACGUUUUUGUCCUCAAAUCCUGCGACACCCUUGUCGUUGUUGCAGUUCACGGUCAUGCGCUCCACCACAGCCUACUUCCACAACCUGUGUCAUAUUCAAGCCAGUGUCGAUGGAGAUGUGGGCGAGAUAAAAAAGUGAAGCUUAGCGUUGAUUUGGAGGCGGUGGAGAAGGAGGAGAAGGGAGAUGAAAUGGGAGGAGGAGAGGAUGAAACGAUGAGGGGCAGGAAAACGAACGGAGAAGGGGAGGAGUGGAGACGAGAAGAAGAAUGAGAGAGAAACAAGAGAAAAAAGAAAAUACGAAUAUUUUAAUCAGUUUACUAAAGUUUUAAGUCUAAUUUGCAAAAUUUAAACCGGUGGUAAUAUUUUAUAAAAAUACAAAAUCGAUAAAUUUUUUUUACUAAAAUUGGCCUAAUAAAUUAUGAUGAUUUAAUAUGCUCCUAUCAUCUCGUGUCAUGAAUGUGAUUGUUUACCUUCCAAAACAUACGAAUGCACGUGAUGUCGCUUUUUCUUAUUAAGACCCCUUUUGAAUAAAAAAAAUAGUUACUUUUGUGGACCCUCUAUAUUCUAGCAGUGGUUUCAUUCGUUAAUGAUUUAUUAUUAUUAUUAUUAUUAUUAUUAUAGUUUUUAACAUUUGCGUGCAGAAAUUUCUAUUCUGAAUUUUAUAUAUAUAUAUAUAUAUAUACUAUUCUAAUAUCUAAAAUAUUUAAAAACAAUAUAAUUUUUUUCUUUUCAUAAAAGUCCGAGCGAGAUCAAACUCGCAACAUUUAUUUAAGAACAUAUUUGACAAAUAAAAAAGAUUAGCAUCUUCUUCUAUUCCGAAAAACUAAAACGAGACGUGACAUUCAAAAGUAGAACAAUUUAAUUUGAUAUUUCUACAUCUGCUAUAGAAAAAGCUAUCAAAGAAUUUGCUAUAAAAAAACACUUCAAUGCUUCUUCUAAAAGCACCAGUGAACAACACUAUAUCUUAUAGUAGAGUCAAACGAAGUAGAUACUUCGUUAGAAUUAUUUAUCCUACUACAGCGUUAUCGCAUCGUCAGUAUACGACCACCCUUGUUUACUUUGAUUAGAAAAAGAAGCUUAAGUAGAUUUUCUUAGUUAAAAAAAUAUUGAGGUGAAAAAUUUUUUUCUACUAAUUAAUGAAGCACUAAACAUACUUUGUUAUAUUGUAUGCGUGUUUACGUGUGAUUGAUUUUUUUUAACUAAGAAAAUCUACUUAAGCUUCUUUNUUUACGUGUGAUUGAUUUUUUUUAACUUUUAAUUUUUUAAUUUUUAAUUUUUAAUUUUUUUUUUGUCGUUGUAUAGUUCUUACGGUGCUUCACAUAUUCUAUUAAAAAAAAUUGAUCAAUCUUACGUAAUGGAUGACCUCUACUUUGCAUUAUUAUAUAUAUAUAUAUAUAUAUAUAUAUAUAUAUAUAUAUAUAUGACUAGUCUUAGGAGGAAAAGUUAACUAGUAAAUAAAAUGCAACAUGUUAUCUGUAAGCCGGUAACCGAUUUUGAGAUUGAAAAUAAUUUUUUGUUAAACUAAAGUUUAGGUAAAAAUUAUUUUUCCAUCGCUACUUAUUUAAUGGAAAGCUAAUGCCUUCAAAAGUGAAGUCCUUUCAUUCUCUCUGUUUAUUUUUGUAAACAUUUCCACACUAACACGCAAAAGGAUGAAAAAAAAAAUUACAAUAGUAAAUUAUUUAUUAAUUAAUUUCGCUACUGGCCAGAGCCAAAGUUAGUAUUUAUGACUGAAAAUCACUUCACUUCUCUCCAUUUUCAGUAAAACAAAUAAACCCUUCGACAAGUAGAUUUUUGAACAUAUCUAAUGAAUCAUAAUACCAUCAUUAAUAAGAAAAUGCUAAAAUUAUGGAAUGGCUAAUAAAACCUAUGCUAGAGGUAACAUUCUCAAUUAGUUGUAAUUUAUUAAAAGGUGACAAGUUGUAAGUUGUCAAAAGGUUUGGGGACAAGCUGUAUAACUAAUCCUGCAUUACAUUGUGAUGAAACAUGAGUUAUGACUACAAGGGGAGAUUAGAAUGAGAAAUGGCACAGUUCCCCUCCUGGGGGAUUCUUGUGAACAUGGAGAUUAUUGAUGCAGAGAUUGUUAGAGCAACAAAUGUGGGUACUGUAUGCUUACUGCUUUUUUAGUACUUCAAGUUGCAAAAAUAACCAAUUUACAUAAUGAUCUGAACAUGCGCGCACGCGCACACAUGGAGCCAAAACCUUUAACAUGACAAGUGCAUUUCUAUUCGAUGAGAUUAGCUUGAUCUUCCUCUGAAUCUACUUAUCCUACAGAAAGAAAGGCACCAUAAUAUGCAUGUUUAAAAUGGAAGCACUUAGUAGGCCACACAAUAUCGCCUACCGACGGGACUUUUGCUUCAGUAAUCAGUACACCUAAUCUAGCAAUGAGAGACGUAAGCCGGAUGAAAUCACAAAACAUAAAAUGGAACUAAAGAGAGGUUAAUAACAAGUUUUCUAAUUCUACAACAGACCUUAAGAAGCAAUGAAGUAAUGCAAAUUUCAUUGUCUAAGGUAGGGAAUGCAAAUCAGAUAAUAGACAUAGAUGUACAGUACAUUGUUUCUAUUGGCAGAAGACAUGAGGUUCUUUUGUGGCUUCUGGGCUUGAGACUCGGCAAAUGAAAGCGUAUUACAAGAAUACUGUAAAUGAUGGGAAAUCACGCAAUUUGUCUAGAAAUAAAUUGUGAGUUUUCUUGCCGAACAAUCAAGAAGCAAAAAAUGCAUUUCAGAGUCAAAGAUCAGCAAGUCAAUGUAAACCUGUAAGGCCUAUCAAAGCACCCGAAAAACAUGGGUGUGUAGAAAACAUUAAUGAAGAUUUAAUAAGCAAAAAUGCGACUUCAUGGCUAUCUGGGUAUGGUUUCAACUCAGAUGCAAUGAAUAUUGAACAUGCAAUUGCCGUGUGAGACAUUAGAACCAGAUAUUACAAGAACCACUGAGAACAAGCCCUACCGAACAAUCAGCAAUACAACGAUAGCCGACAGGUAGUUGGAAGUGUUACACUUUAACAACAACGGUGGUAACACAAGGAGGCAUAUAAAAUUUUGUCAUAUUUCCUUUCUCACAACAUGGUGUCCUUAAAAAUUUUUAAAAAAUAAAUAUAAAAAAAGCAAAAAAAGGAACAGGGGAAAAAGGAUACUGUAGCUAAUUAUAAAGCAAUGUCAAGUACGAUUUCAUUAUAUUUAGUGAAUGAAGUACAGCAGUAUUGCUACACACAGGUCACCAUUGUGAAUUUCUUUGAAUUUUUCAAAAAAAAAAACCUGUAAAUGAAACCUAAACCUCAUGAUGACAUGUGAACACCUACAGAGUGCUAUUCGCAUGCACAACUCCGAAUUAUUCACGUUUAAAAGGGGGAGAAAAAAGAGUAUUAAACCAAUGUGAGGAUUGUAACAGCAUUUUCUUUAGUUUACCCAUCAAAACCAGUAUGCUUCCAUGGUUCUAUUAUCAGUCCAAACAUCCUCUUGAGACCUCACUCCAUGUAAUAUAGUUGCAACAAAGAAGUAUCUACACCGUAAGUGGUGAAGCUCCUAUUUUUGUUCAAAGACAAGGAAUCAUAGAAUACAAAGAAUGGCAGCAACUAAUAACCCACACAGAAAUUUUGCCUUUGUUCUAUUUCCCGUCGAAAAGGACAUUGCUUUGGUACCUAUAUACCAUGCACAUGAAAAGUAGCAGGGAGAUAAGCUAAGACUUUCUAGAACAGUAGUUAAAAGAUAAUAAUAAUAAUAAUAAGUGAAACCAACUAAAGAUUAAGAAGUUUUGUCAGCAGGUUUCAUCAAGAUGCAUCGGUACUACAAGUUAAACAUCCAAUCCAGGCACUAGCUUACACUGCAAUAUACAAAAUGUUUGUAUUUCUGAAAAAACAUUUAUACGUAUGGUUUUUGGGCUUUUUAAGCACUUACGUAGAUAGCAUAGCAAGAAAGCAUAUAUUUACUAAAAAUUGAACAUAAGUUAAUCAGUAAGUUGAGGAUCAACUAUUUCUAUGUGGUUAAGCAUGCAAUUCAAGUGAAAUAGGGACUCUAAACAAUGGCCGGUAAGAAUGAUGGUAUAGGAACUGAUCAUAGUCAGGUAUCACUUGUAUACCUCAUUAAGGACAAUUAUCAAGGAUCUAAAUUCUCAGCGAUUCCCGCAGUGCAAGCAGAGCAGCAAAUAAAGAAGAUGAAACGUGAAUAAUUGUUGCAUGAAAUUGUGACACCCCAAUAGUCCCAGAUUGGAUAGUUAUGGCUAGAUGUAGGGGUAUAUAAGCUUGACUAGGCUAGACAUAAUAACUGGACUUAAACAUUCUGGGCUGGUGGUUUUGACCCAACGAGUUAUUAUUGCUAGCAGGCUGGAUCGUUAAAUUUGGUAUCAGAGCCAGUUCACCAGUUGGAAGUGUGAGAUGAGUCUUGGCUGAACCAGGGUCGGAAUGACAGACUAAGCCGGGGUCGGUGAUAGACAGGUUAAAUCAGGGUCAGAAUGACAAAGACUAGUGAAACAAGUCUCACAUCGCCUGGUGAUGUUGGGUUGUGUGUGUAUGUUUAAAGGCUGAUAAGGACGUCAAGGCCUAAACAGAGGGAGUCUGUGACACCCCAAUAGUCCCACAUUUGGUAGUUAUGGCUAGAUGUGGGGGUAUAUAAGCUUGACUAGGCUAGACAUAAUAACUGGGUUUAAACAUUUUGGGCCGGUGGUUUGGGUCCAACGAGUUAUUAUUGCUAGCGGGUCGGGUUAUUACAGAAAUAGGGAGUGGUAAACUAUAGGUCCAAAACUAAAAACAUUUCCUGGGAAAAUUAGAUUAACUAUUAUAAGUACAACGCCUGCAAAGAUCUCUAUACAAGGUAGAAGUAGGAUUAAUACUACAAGGCUGUUUGGUUCAAGGUUUAUAAUAUUCCUGGGAUGUUUUACAUUUUAUAUUUGGAAUGACAAGUUUGUUACUAACUUAUCAAGUCACUUGGGUUCGGAGGUUGUUUGGGGCUAAUAUAUUUUUAUUAAUGGACUACUAAUGAUUCCAAUUAAGAAUGGGAAUGGGAAUGAGAAUAUGUCCUAAACCGUGAUAAUCUAGUAUUCAUACCAGCUAGAAAUCUACAAUGAUUUCACAAUUUCACUAACACCUUUUACAACCAUCCAACUUUAAGUUGAAUGGUAAAAAUUUGAAUAUUUUUAAUAGAAAAUAUGAAAAUUAAUGAAUACUACAAACCACGAACCAAAUGGGCCGUCAUUAUCAUGCUUAGAAAUCGUAAUCAACCUUUGUCAGUAUGACACCUCAAGCCAAGUUAGCAUAGUACUGACUUCAAACGGAUGAACAAUUUGACUAACUGAAUUGAUUGCAAAAUUAAAAUAUCAAGAUCAACUUCUCUAAUACAGCUUGCCCAAAACUUUCCAGAUAGAUUAGCUGCUUAAUUAUGGUCAUCAAACUCAAUAAAUGGUAUAUAUAGUUUCUAAUUUGACUAUAUACUAUUUCAGUAAUUAUUCUAAGAAAAAAGCUCCUCUAUGUAAGAAUUUGAAGCAUUAAAGAGUAUCUUAUUAUGAUAUGCUUUAACAAUACAAUGCGCUACAGCAGUGAUAAAGCAGAUUUUAUUGUUUUGAGAAUUGAAACACAUGUUAAAUUCACAUUUCACCACAAAUGUGUCAAUAUGAAAUAGAAUCAACCAAAGAACCAUAAUAAAGUUAAUGUGCAGAUGUACCAUAAGUUAGAUAGGAUUGAGCCAACAUUUUACCAAGCUGGACUUGAGCUUGGGUGGUUAGGUGGAGGUGGUCACCUUCAAGUGGCAAUCCCUUCGCAUCGACACAUAUAACAUUAGGAAGUUUGAGCCCUUUCUGAGCUUUCCUUACAAUUUCUGUGAAGUUUCCUUCUCCUGAUGCAAUGGCAACCUAAAAUGGGGAUAUGAAGAACAUUAUAUCUCCUUGCAUAAGCGGUUCCAUGCAAAAAGAAAAAAGUUUUUGAGGUCAAAUGUGCCAAUACCUACUGAGCUUUUGACGAAUUAUGAUAACCUUGUUAUCCCCAUUUGAUUGCAAAUAGUUUAUCAUGCACUGAUUAUACCUGAUUUUUGUGAUGCAACACUAGGUGAAUUUUUCAUCCAAUAUCCCUGAGGUCUGUUAGGGACUGCCUGGCACGUGGCAGUUAUAAUUUAUAUUACCAUUUUGUCUCCUCUUCCUCCGACGCGUGAUUAAUUGUAGAUAAUUAAUCAUCAUGUUACUGUAAAUGAUCCUUUACUCAUAUCAAAUGAGAAAACUGGACUAAAAUCAACAUUCUAAUUAGUUUAUGUCACCAUGCCGAUCUACACUAAUACCAGGGAUAUUGAAUGGAAGCAAACUCAGGUGUGACAUAAAUAUAAUAAUGAUAAAUAAUAAUAUUUCCUGAAAUUUCGAGUAGUCAAUCUAUCGGAAAAAAAAAUAUAACUACAAGCACACAUGUAAAGAAUUUUUUUUUUUUUUGGAUAAGAGCCCUCGACAGAUAAAUAAACAUUCAAUAUAAAAAUAAUCUAAGAAAACACAAACGAGGGUGAUAUUUUAAUGGUACUAAAAUAUUACAAAAUAUAAUAAUAGUAUGCGUAAAAACAAAUCUAUAAAUAUCAUGGAUAUCAACCGUUACAUUUAUUCUUUGGGACAAUUGCUUAUAUAUCCCUGAAUAAUUUCCGACUUUCUUAUUUACUCCGUUUAGAAGGCUCAUAUUAAAAAAAAACCCUUUUAGCUUUCCAAGUUCUUUCAAAUAUACCCUUAAAGUUAGAUUCUAUUAGUGAACUGUUAGGAACAACCAUUAUCUUUAUAAAAUUGCUAUUUUGCCCUUUCAAAUAUACCCUUUUAUAUCACCAACUUUUCUUAUUUGCUCUUAAGUUAGGGACAAAAGAGGUAUUUUCACUUCUUUUUUUUAACUUUGAUAGAAGUUUAAUCCGAAUUUAACCUGAGAUGACUUAACGGGUACUGACAGCAGGAAUAUUUUUGAAUAACAGAAAAAUAUAUGAUAGGUAUAUUUGAAAUAAAAAAAUGUAGGGACAAAUAAGAUAUUUCAGAAGUAUCGAGGGGUAUAUAUAGGCAAUUAUCCCUUAUUCUUUACACUUUCGAAUGAUAUACAGCCACAAAAGUAAGUUUUAACCCAACCCAACCCAACCCAACCCAACCACCAAAAUAAACAACAAAAUAUAAUAAGUUUUGUUCUAGUGACGUGCAGUUAUAAACAUAUAGCUAAGUGAAAUAACAGAGUAUAUGGCAAACACAUAGCAAUUUCAUAGCAAGCAAAUGGCAACAAGUAACUCGAGCAACUAUUGGCUGCAUCAGGUUUGUUUGUACACACUUUGCGCCGUACCAAACGCACAUUCUCACACUUAAAUCUUCACCAUCCAACCCACUAUCGGGGUGUUCACUUCACGGUUUGUAAUAUUCUGAAAAAUCUCUACAUUUUCUAUCCAAGAUAUUCAAAUUGUCACUGUACAGCUCAAAUUGAAAAGUUGUAAGAGGUGUUAGUGCAGUUGUGAAUAGUCCAUAAACAAGAAUACACUAAUUCCUAACAACCUCUCAACCCGAGCGGCGUUGGUAACAAACUUAAUAUUUCAAAUAUAAAAUAUACAUAUUUCCGAAGCUAUACGCCAAUAAAAUGAACGAACGACCGUAUAAGAUUACCGUAACUUUUAAAUUACGUAAAAGAAAAGAGAAACACUUAUUAGGGUUCAUGAAACGUGUGACAUAAGAUGAAUGAUUUGCACGUGCAGGUGCACGAGAUGUACGGACCUGGAUGAAGAGGAGCCCGGGCAAGCCCAGAUCCGACCGUAGAUCAAGGAUCAUCGUCUCCAGUUUCCCACCGUACGAUUCGGCGUCGCUUCGCUCCACCGUGUCGCUCUCCCCCUGAUACCACAGCACCGCCCCCAACCUCCUCGUCCUCCGCCCCUCUCCCCGCUCCAACGCCGCCCUGGCGCGCCGCACCAUCGCCGCGUAGAGCGGCGCCCCCCGCGCCCACUCGUCGAUCCGCGUCCCCCCCACCGCGCACGGCACGAGCCCGAUCGCCUCCGCCCCGGGCCCCUCGGCGGCGGCGGUGGCGGCGGCGGAGCGGCGGAGCGCGGAGGCGAAGGGGAGGCCGGGGCCGACGCCGCAGGGGCGGGCGCGGUCGAUGUCGGCGUGGAGCGGCUCCCGCGCCUCCUCCCACCGGAGCGCGGCGCUGAGGCGCAGGAUCGAGGGGCUCGGCCGGCACUCCGGCGGGACAUCCCCGUCCCACCGGUCGCCGACGACGCCGCCGCGCCCCGCCAUGUUCGACUGCCCCGCGAGCACGAAGACCACCAUCUCCUCCUCCACCUCCACCUCCGCCUCCGCCUCCGCCACCGCCGCCGCCGCCGAGGCGAGGAGGAGGAGAAGGGAGAGGAAGGAGAGGAGCAUCGCCACCUCUCUCUCUCCCCCCCCUCUCUCUCUCUCUCUCUCUCUCUCUCUCUCUCUCUCUCUCCUCUUGUUUGGGUUUGGACUUUGGAGUUUGGAUUCGUUCAGAGGGGGAGAUUACGGGGAAAGAGAGUAGCUUUGUGAUUUGAUCGGACGGUGGAGAUGAGGCGACAUCAUCAUCAAGCGUGGCGCACGGUCGGUGACCACGGUUGGUGUUUGACACCGGGUCAAAGGAGUCAACCUAAUUAAUCCUUUUAUUAGCAGCUUAAUUACUCCUUUUUAAAUUUGUGUACAUCACAUGUCAUCAACGAGGGCUCAUUCUUUCCGGGAGAGCUCAUUCCUUCCAGCUCUGCAUGCCAGAUUUUUUUUUUUUUAUUUUAAUUUUAAUUUUUUAUUUUUAUUAUUAUUUGUUUGAACUCGUGUGUCUAAAACAGCGUGGACCGAAUUGUUGGAUGAUCGGCUAAUCUAGCGGUCAAGGUUGAUUCAGCCUCGAAUAAACGGCGAGAUUUUCCUACACGCAACAUAAUUUUGUGCAUAAAAUUUAAAAAAAAAAAUAUGUAUCUCUUACCAACCACAUUCAAAGAAAAAUGAUUUAUAUCGAAAUAUUUUUAAAAAUAAUAAUAAAAAUAAUAGGAAAGUGGUCUCUCUCAGGGACGGAGCCAUGUGGGGCCGACAAUGGUCAUGGUCCCUCCCCCCUACAUUUUUAAAAUUACAGAACAAUCCGCUAGUAAGCUAUUAAAAAAAUUAAAAUAUUGUAAAUUUAGGGGACCAAAGUGAAAAUUUUGAAAAGAAUUGUUGGCUUGUGGGCUAAGACUCCAAGGCUUACGCACAGGGACAGCCCAUAUAUAGCCCAAAGGAGUUAUGGCCCUCUUCAACUUUUUAAUAUUUACUUUAUAGUCCUUUGGUAGUUUAUAUAUUUUCAGUUAAUUUUUAAAAUAUAUCGGCCUAUUUUGUAAAAAGUUUUUAGUGCUAAUAUAGAGCUCUCUUUCUCUUCUUAUGUGUUUUAUAGGUGAAAAUAUAUUAAGAACCUUUUAAUUAUAAUGCAUUUUGAAAUAAGUCCUUUCAACUUUAAUUAUUUUAUUUAUACAUUCUUAACUUUCCAAUUAUUUUGAUGAGCUAAUUUAUUUAACUAAAUAAAAUUGUAUGCUAAAUUUAAUAGCUCUGUUAAAUAUUAGUCAUUGGUUGUUAUUAUUUUAUUAACAAAAAAUUAAAAAUUUAAAUUCUAAUUAAAUUGCUAUUAGAUUUAGUAAAAUUCUUAAAUUAUUUGAAUGAAAUAAUGCAAAUAAAAUAAUUAGAAGUUAAGCAAGUAUAAAUUAAAGAAAUAAAUUUAAUAUUUUUUAACAUUAAUUAUCUAAUCACUAAAUUUUUUUAUUAAAAAUUUGAGUAGUUAAAAUUUUAUUUAUCUGCUAAACUUUUUAUUUGUACAUAUUUUGGCCCCCCUGUGAUUGAAUUUUGGCUUCGUCCCUGGUCUCUCUCUUAAGGUUUCGUCAUUAUUUUGUUCAUUUUUUAUAAUUUAUAUCGAAAAUAUUCUUAGAAAUAAUAAAAAUAUAUUAAAAAAAUAUUUUUUUCUUAUAGAACAAAUAAGAGCAAUUUGGUUAUUUUAUGUUCUCCAUUAGCGUUGUAACUUUCUGAAAAUAUUUUUGAGGAGACAAAAAUAAAAAAAUAAAUAUUUAUAGAAAGAUUUUUAGUAUUUUAAUAUUUUUUUUUUGAGAGAGCUACCCGCUUCGUUUAUUUUUUUUUAUUAUUAUUAAACACCCAAAAGGGUUGGAUGAAUCUUAAAAGUUUAAGGCUUAGGUUUAAGCCAACUAGUCUAUAAAAUAAAAUAUAAUGAAUCCAUAGAUUUCAAGCUCUCUCCGCAAUUCAUUAAAAAAGUGGGCCCCUCCCCUCUCUAAACCUAUAUAAUUAUUCUCUUAAUUAGCAGAGCCCACAUUCUCUCUCUUCUUAAUUAGGAUGUUAGUGUAGGCAUGGAGUCCCAUAUUCUCUCUUCUUAAUUAGGAUGGAGCUCACAUUCAUUCUAUUCUUAAUUAGGAUGUUAGUGGAGGCAUGGAGCUUAUAUUCUCUCUUCUUAAUUAGGAUGGAAUUGCUUCCUUUCAAAUAUUUCUCACGUUCUCUCUCUUAAUUAAGGUGGGGUUAAUUUCCUUCUAAAUACUUCUUACGUUAAUUCGUCAAGUAAUAAAACCAAUCCCAACGAAAUCACAUUUUUAUUUUUUCUCUUCUCUUUUAUUCUUGCAUUAAAUUAUGUUUUUUUAAUUUCUAUCAACAAUUUUUAUUCUCUUAUUGUUUAUUUUUUGUUUUCUUUCUUUGUUCUCCGCUGGAUUAUAUUUUCAUUCUAAAAAAUUUUUUAAUAUAUUUUUUAUAUUAUUAACCAAUCAAAUAUUAAUUAUUUUUUACUAUAUUUUUAUAUUUUAUUUGUAUAUUUAAUUUAUAAUUUAUUAUAAUUUUUGUCCGCCGCAUCGCGCGGGUUCCUACACUAGUAUAUAUAUUAAUUUUUUAAUCUCUGCUUAAUUAUCCGACGUGGAAUUAUUCACAUAUAAACCCUUAAAAAAUUCAUCGCCCAUAAAAUAUUAAAUACAUUUGAAAUACAACUCUGAUUAUUUUUUUGAAACAAAGAUAGCAUGUUACCCACUUCAUUCAUUAAAAAUAUGAAUUAGGUGAAAUAAGUUGAGACAGCGAGGGCCUCGUUAUGGGCGUAUCGGCCCAAAAAAAAAAAAAAGGAUAUUUCCUGUUAUGGUAGGAAGGAGAAAGGAGAUUAUUAAAUGCAUAUCUUGUUAUGGUACAACUCUGGUUAUUAAAUGCAUAUCUUGUUAUGGUAGAAGGGAGAUUUCCUGAUAUUUUCUCUCUACCCUCCUUUCCUGCUUAUAAUUAUUUUAUCUAUUAUCAGUAUAUGAUAAUAAAAUAAAAAAAAAAUAAUUAGCUGUAAAUUAUUUAAGAAGGCAUUAAGGAAUGUCUAAAUUUGUGUUUCCUAAUCACAAACAAGAUUUUCUAUAAAAAUUUUCGCAGAACUACCCAAAUAAUAACAAUAAAAAAAACGUACCACGAACUCCAAAUUUACAGAGACAUAAUUUUUCCAUAAAAUGUCACACGGGAUGACCGCGCCGUCCAUUUUUACAUAAAAUAGACUCUACUUUGUACAGAGUCUACCAAUCAGAAGAAAAUUUCUCCAUUUUGUCCAUUACAGAACAUCCAAUUUACAUCACUUGAAGUUCUGUAAGUGACAGGAAAAAGGAAAACUAAUUGAAAAAGAUUUGUUCAUGUUAUCCAAGUUUGAGGAAAAUGUGAUCCAGAAAUGAUCAAACAGAUCUUGAAUCUAGCAAACAUGCACCCUUGAGUGCGAGCAGCGCGGCUCCGAAUGCAGCCUCCGUCUGCCACGCUUUACUGACGGGCAGGCCGAGCACCCUCUCCCUUAUCUUCAUCCAUUGCUGAUUCUUCGCGCCACCCCCCGCCGUAAACACUUCCUCCACCUCCGUCGCCCCGAGCUCCUUCAGCAGCUUGUAGCCCUCAGCCUUGUCAGAAAAACAAAGUAUCACUAGAUACCAAUGCAACUCCGAAGAAUUGGGAUUGUAGUAGUUAUGAUGAACUUUUCGGUGAGGAUAGUUACUUACCUCGAUCCGUGCGAUGGAUUCGAAAAUUCCAUGCAAGUAUUCUACGUCGCGUUCGGGUCGUGGAUGUAACCUUCAUAAGCAUGCGAGCACGAAAAGAAGUAGUCAUAUGGUUAUGUAAUCAUAACUUUUCGUCGAGGUGAUUUCUGAUAUACUAAAAAAUCUACUGACAGAGUAUGAAGUUAUUAGCUAUCAUGUAAUGGAAAAUUGAGCACCUGGGCAUCAUAUCUGGGUCAGAGACGGGAAACCUCUCGCCUUUUUUCGGUAAGGGAUAAUAAUCAAGAGGCGACGGUACCGAAGGAUCGAUCUCCUUACUCAAUUCCUCCAAUUGUUCAUCAGUGAAAAGCUGUCGCAGAACAGCACCUCCAGUGUUUGAGGCACCGCCGACGAGCCACUCGUCGUCGAGACGAUGGCUGUACACGCCGAACCUUGCGUCAUCGACACGAGUUGUGCUUAGGAGUUUGAUCGCAAGCGUCGAACCCAACGAUGUUACCUAAUGAAACUUGAACAAGAAUAUACUAGUAAAUAUACAGAGCUAGCAUGCGGGAUUAGUUAAAAAUUUAGUCCAUGAAAUUUCACCCCAAAUUUCGUUAACAAUCUAGUCUUCAAUCUCCUCCAUUAGUCAAUUGUUGCAAAAUAUGGAAAAAUGCAAUGUUAAAUUAAUGGAAUGACAUAAAAAGUUAAUAAAUUGUUACAAUUGAAACUCUAGUGAUGUAAAUGACAUUUUGUUUAAACUAGGGAGACUAUAUUGUAUUAACCUUAACUUUGUUUAUCUUCAUAAAGUAAAUGAGUUACAUGAAGAAAACUCACAGCUUUUCCUGGUUGUGUAGCGCGAGCUGCGAGGAAAGCUGCUAUACUAUCAGUUGUUCCAGUACAGACAGCACAGUCCUUCGGAAACCCUAGCAGAAAGUUUGAAUAUUUAGUUUUAAUUCUUUUAUGCGCAUCUGACAUGUUACAGGAAAGAAAGCAUAGGCAGAGAUCUAAUCACUGAUCAGAAAACUCAAGACCAUUUGCGGCAUACUACAUGCAUCUUUCAAAUAACUACUUAAUAUGAUGCGUAAUCGAAAAAAAGAUAAAAUGGAUUGCAGUAGACGGAACAGAUUCCCCGCAUACCAUCUAUUACGGAAAUUGGACACUAAACCUCAUAGAUUAUUAGCCAAUGGCUUGAAAAAUCAGGAAACCUCGAGCAAUUGCUAACUUUAUUUGUAAAUAUAAGACUAGGAUAACUUUAUAACUAUUUAACUACGGAGUUAUCUUCUGCCCUGCAAUAAGAUUUCAGAAAAUGGAAAUUCAAUCUGAAAGAAGGCAUUACCAUACUGCAAUGUAAUGUCUUCUUUUACGGAACCGACAGGAGUUCCAGGUGCUUUAACAGAAGGCAACAUAUAUGAAAAUGGCUGAGACAGCAACCAGCUCGGAUAGGAGUCGGUCUCUGGGUCAUAUCCUACCUGUGAUAAAGCACGAAUAAUAUAAAUAGGUAAACACAUCUCUGGUCCUAUAGGUUUCAUUCGUCCGAAAUUCUAAAAAAAGCUAAUAGUAAACAAGUGAAAGAUACAUGUUCAAAGUGCUGAUAAGUUAUGAAGCGAAAAGAACUACCUUCAAGGCAUUGUUGUAGUCAGAAACACCGAACUUUCCAUGUAAAAGCCAUAAGAGCCAAUCCGAUUGAUGCAUCAGUAAAGCCGGGUCUUGGUCCGAGUUGUUCGAACUCCACCACGAUACAAGCUUGCAUAAAGUGGAUGACCCAGAGCACACAGUGUGGUUCUCUGGAGCAAUGGAUGUAACGGUCGGUAGAGCAUCGGGAAAGCUUUCAUUGUAGAGAAAAGGUCCGGAUAGUAGCUCUCCUGUUUUACUAGUUGAAGAAAUUUGAACAUCUCAUCAGAAAAGUGUUACCAAAAGCAGAAUUUCCGACUUGAAGCAUUUGCUUCUGCUGCAACGAGAAUCCGUUGAGAAGGUUUUUAUGAAAAAGUAUCUACUGCUUGUUUGAACAGCUCUAUUCAAACAGCACCUUUGCAAAAGCACAGGCUAAGCCAAACAGGCUCACGAUACAGAAGGAACCUUAAAUCUGGUUAUCCACCUAUCAAUUAUGAGGGUUGUUGCGGAAGUCCCAUCGAUGGAUAUGGAAGCAAUAUACGGUCGAUAACUCGCCGGAAUAUCAUCAAGAAGUGAAAAUAGUGUUUCUUUCCAAGAGGUCGCCCAGUUUACGGUGUUGCCAACCUGCCUAGCGGAACAAUCAGGCAAUAUAAGUUCGUCAAGAAGACAAAUGCCGAAAAUUCAACGCUAGAAUGGUUCCUACAAAAUAUGCGCAUCACGAAACUAGAAUUGAAGCCAAAACCAUGAUUUAGGUGCUAAUUUUAUGCAAAUUUGGAGUCAGAAACCAAUGUCCACUGUGGCAUAGGAAAAGAGAACUAACACAUCCAUUAUCAACGCUAACACGCGGGACAUGAAGUAGAAACUUAAACCUUAUUUGAAGUACAAGCAUUUAGUCUAGAAGAUCAAUGAUUUCUGAAAGUCCACAAGAAGCUUUCUCAAAUCAUAUGUAUAUAAAAAAAAAAAAAGAGUCUACAAGUACUCAUAUUUUUAAGGUCCAGAAGAUCCAUGCUUUAGAUUCAAAUUUUGACUCAUCGAAUUUGAUUUAAAAAGGCCAAAGUAUGCAAAGCAUAUAUCAAACAGAAUGUUAUAGUAAGGUUAAUUAAUUUGACAAAUAUAAACCUUUAAAGAUAUCAAAAACUAUACACUAAACAAGGAAACUUACCAAACUUUUUGGAUAGUUUCUCUUUCUUUCGGAAUGAAUGGUUCCUUGCUCAUCUAUAAGAGCAUAUCUAGCACCAGAUGUUCCGAAGUCUAUCCCAAGGUAAAGUUGUUUGUUUCCACCACUGCGCCCUGUUGCGUAAUCUCGGUCACUCCGAAAGCGAAUAAUCCUUAUUCUUGUUGAUAAUGUAGAGCUAUAUCUUCUAGUUUUCCUCAAUAAACAGCACUCUGAUAAACAAACAGAAGAGAUUGAAUGAGUAAAGAUGAACUAAGUAAGUUCCACCAGGAAAAGUCACUGCCACAGAUAGAAAAGGUAUCUGCAUGGUUUAAGUGUCAAAAUUUCAUGUUUGAUGAAUGAAUAUAUAGCAGCAUCUUUUACUGCAAAGUCAUUUUAAAGAUGUGACUCAGCUUACUGAUGUGAAUUCUAACAUGUACUUGUUUUCUUUGCUGAAGAUCCCUAUAAAUUCAUCUUGGUUAUUCAAGAACCUGUCUAUUGUACUAGGUUUUUUGUACUUCAAUCAAAUCAUCUGAUCCUAGAUUUAAAAAAAAAAAAAAAAAAAAUAACAUCAGUUAGAUAAGAAUAUCUGAUUAAACUCAGGGUUUCAAACAACAGGACGCUGAAGCACUGCUAAAGUAGUAUACUUGGUCCCUUGCCAUUCCCUUUUAGGCCCUGUUUGAAUGUCGGAUCAAAUUAUCCGAGAAUAACUUAUUCAGUAUUAUGAAUUUUUUUUUAAGGUGAUUGUAAAUAAGGAAUUUCACUUUUCUUUUUUCUUUUCUCUUUGAAAGGUUUUAUUAUCUACGAUUCGGUAGGACAGUAUAUUUUAUUUACGAGAUGAUUUAUUCUUAAAAAUGACUUAAAAGCCGAAUAUAUAUAGUAUCACAUUUUAGACAUUUAAUCACGCUCCUCAUCUACGAAACGUACAAGUUUUUGGAGAAAAUCAGAAAGAUAUAUACCGAAUAAGAUAUUCAUGCGUCCAACCAAAGUCGUCGUAGGCCUCGUUUGGACGUUAGAACAAUAAAGUUUCCAGUAAUAUCUCACGCAAUAUUUUUGUUUGUGAUUGCAAGCUACGAGCUUAAUUUUACCUCCUUAGAAGGUCUCAAUAAUAUUGCCCCGUACCUAGCUAGUACAGUUGAUUAAAAACUUAACGGUUGUAUCUGAAAAGAUAUGCCGAAUAAGAAAUUCAUGUAAUCAUUGAACCAAACAUGGCCUUGGUCAUAUAAAUUUUUUGAUCAAUUUUAACUAGUGUUAAUUAUGACACAACAUUGAAUGGGAGACUAAUUUAAUUUGUUUGGGUUUUUGAGACAUUUUGGGUUGACGAGAAUUCAAUUUACCUUGUUGAGAAGGGAGGCGGAGGUGGGAGUGCGGCGUUGGCCGGAACGCGAUUCCCAACAUCGCGCUCUCGCGCUGAAACUGCUUCUCGGAGCAGCUCAAAUUUGGAGACUCUGAAGCGUGGUGUCAGGAUAAGGAACGCUUGGACGGGCACACGCGGAAAGUCACUAAAAUUUAGGGCUUUAUUGCUUUUAGCCCCUUAAAAAAAGAUAAUUGCAUAAUAGGCCCAUUAAAUUUAUAUUUGUAAGACUGGUCAUAUUCCCAUCACGUAGCAGCCACAUAAGUGCCACGUGAGUGUGGCUGGCAGCCCAGGGUUUCAACUAAAAGAACCAUUCACCGUAUUUAGAUAUCGUGUCAUUUUCAUAUUUACCGUGUUUAUUGUAUUGAACGUUGUAUAAGUUAAGUUUGAACACGGUGAAUGGUUCACCGUGUUCAACUUAACCGGCCACGCUCAUGUGGUGCUCGCGUGACGCUUGCGUUGCGGGGAUAGGACCAAAUCUUGCAAAUAUAAAUUUUGUGGGGCUAUUUGUGAUUUUUUUUUUAGAGGGGCGCUAAAAGCAAAAAAGCUCUAAAAUUUAAAAGCAAUGCUACAGGUACACUCUAAAGUGGGGUGUAUAUCUCACACCAACUCAAUCCAAGGUCAUUAUUGUCACAUCAAUUUUUUUAAAAUUUUACUAAAAAUUAAUUCAAUUUUUAUCAAUCCUAAGAUUACAGGUGUAAGAUGUACAUCCCUUUUUGGGGUGUGCAAGAAGUAUUUUUCAAAAUUUAAUAUGGGUUAAUUACAUACAGCUCCCUAUAAACGUAUUGAAUAGCACAUAUACCCUUAUAAAAUUCAACUUUUUUAUAUUUAUUCUUGCAAAAAUUCUUACAUUUUCAAAUAUAUCUCCGCUAUUAGAAUCCGUUAGAAAAAUAUAGUUAACCAUAAGUAAAAUACUUAACACUGAUUAGUAAAUGAGAUAAAUUAACCCUUUUACCCCUCUUAUAUUAUUUGUGAUAGUAGAAUGGAAGAAAAUGACGACGGCUGGAGAUUUUUGGGAGAAAAUUUUUGCAUAAUUCUAAUAGUUGGGGAUUAUUGGAGGCACAUAUUUAUAAUGACAAAAAUAUGAUUUCACUUAUCUUUUUUAAAAAAAUAAAUAGUGUUCUAACGAUAAUAAACUAAAGGAGCAUAUACGAAUAUUACUGGACUUUUGCAUGAAUAAAUAUAAAAAGUUGAACUUUGUAAGAAUAUAUAUAAAUAUCUAGGUUGAAUUGAAUUUUACUAGUCACAUCAAUAUGACUAGUGAAAAGUUUUAUCCUAGAAUGAAUAGGAUGUAUAUCAUACACCCCCCAUUGGGGUGUAUGAGUAGUAUUGCUCUUUAUUAUGACACUUUAAUUGGUGCCCAUGCAUGUUAUUAUUUUUAGUUUGAAUUUUUUGAAUUAUUGCAAUUAAAUCUCAGCUUCUAACUUAGUUGGCUAAUGUAAAUGAGUUGUUAAAAGUGAUAUAGUAGUGUAUGAUUGAUGACGCUAUAAUAAUUAGGAUGUCACAUCACUUUCACAUUAGAGAUACAUUAAUAUUUAGUUAAGUAAAUUAGAUUAUGAAACUUGAUUGUAACAAUUUACAAUAUACGAAUCAAAAAUUAUAAUAAAUAAAUAUUUGAGAACCAAAAUGUCACGAGCCCCAUAGUUUGAGGACCAAUUGUGUACUUUUGCUUCAAAACCAUAUGAAGCAUGAUUCUUUGGUCUCCAACUUUAAUUUAUUAUAUUUUUUUACUUAAUUUUUUCAGAUUGUUAAAAUUAAGCCUUAUGGUGUAACUCACUUGAUUAAAUGGUCAUGUAAUUACUAACACAGUAAUGAUGUGACAUUAUUGUGAUUGCAACAUGAGUAAAACUCAUUACUACGUACUAUAUCAAUAGCAUGUAAUCAUAUAAUCAAUUAAAUUGCACUGCAAAAAUUGAUUACAAUAAUCUAAAAAUUUGAUCAAAUAAUUAUAAAAAGUGAAAAACUGUCUUCAUAGUUUGAGAAUCAAAAGUGUAACUUAUAAGCUAGCCAUUUCAUUUUGAUCCUCCAAUUUGAAUUGAUUUGUCAAAUUAGAUGACUCAAAAUUUUUAAAAUAUUCUAACCUUUCAUUUUGUCCCGCUGAUUGGUUCCAUCAUUCGUAAAAAUAGAAACCUAACUUGGCAUGCUAAGUAAUUAUCUCUACAUCCAACAAUCCAUAUUUCUAGUAAUAUUAAUAAGGAAUGAUAAUCACACUAAUGAAGAUUUAGGGUCUAGCGUAUUUAAUGAACAAAAUGUGAAUUAAUAGUUUAUUUACUAUCAUCCAUUAUAUCUAGCACAGCACAGUUAAUUAAGAGUUUGAUAAUUGAUUUCUGAGAUACCUUCUUUUUUUUUUUUUUUUAGCUUAGUUUAUUUCUCUUGUCAAAAAAGUAUAUAUUUUGUUUACUACGUACAACAUCAUUAAAAGCUUUAUAAAGACCCCACUAGUACAACAUUUCGAUUGAUAGUGUAUUUACAAUUCAAAAAAUUUUAGUUCUUUAUUAAAGCAAAAGUUAAUCAUUCUACGCAAUUAAAAUAUUAUAGAACAAUAGUUCUAUGAAACGACGUCUUGUUGGACGUUACCCUUUCCGCCGUUGAAUAGUACCUACUUAAAUGUUGCUUGAAUAUUAGUGUCAAAUUAUUCAAAAGGGGUGAUUUUAUUUGUACCUCUUUAAAGGUUUAAAAUAUCAUAAGUAUCUCUAUAAACUCAUAUAUAUAUAUAUAUAUAUAUAUAUAUAUAUAUAUAUAUAUAUAGACACACACACACACACACACACACACACACACAGAUAAAUUCAUGGAUUCUAUUGUUAAAACAUCCUUAUAUCAACUACCAUCAUCAUAGGUAUCAUAUUAGUUGGAUCUGAGUAAUGAAUAAAUUUUAUAUAUAUACAUAAAAAAAAAAACAAAAGUUCAAUAUCUCAAUCCCAAAUUAUGUAAGUUGAGGGAGUCACUUCAGAAUGACCUAUAUAGGCAUUUGAAUGCCAAAACUUCGAUAGUACAACGAUUAUAUAGGAUGCAUCCAAUUGGAUGAUCCCUGUUCAAUCAAUGAAUAGUAUUCAAAUUAAUCUGCUUGAAGAUUCGUGUCAAGUUAUAUAAUAAAAGAAAAGAAUGUGUCGACCCAUGAAAUUGUUUUUGUCCCAUGCAUUUUUAUAGCCUUGCUUUGAUCUCUUUAAAAAGCCAUAUGAAUGGGUCCCAAAGCAGAAGACAAAAGGAAUUAUAUUUGCACCUUUUCGUAUGCUUUUUUUGAUGUUGUCUAUGUGACUUUUGAAUCAAGCUUAGAAGUAUAAGUUGCACCUUCCUCUAUAGCCUAAAAGUAAUCUUCUAAUUCUUAAAGAUAUUAAGAUACUGCAUGAACCCGAAGAUGAUGGAGAAAAUAUACAGCAUUAUGUGCAGAUGAAUAAAUACAUGCAUAUAAUAAUAAUAAAGAUUAAAAAUAUCAAUCUCAUGGUAUUAUUAUUAUUGUCCUUUUUUAUUUUCUUAAAUAAGAAUCUUAUGUUAUAAAGUAUCCAUGUAACGGCGGAGAGCCCGCAGUUUAUAUAGUAUAUCAACUAAUGAUGAGAAGAAAAGAGAUUUUCGUAUGCCAAUGUUACAUGUAACAACAUAAAAUUUACAUUUAAACAAAAAGACAAUGACAAUGUUGAUCGAGAUUGCAGAAAAGUUUAGGUUUGUUAUCGUGUCUUACAUAGUCCACCGAUAAAAAUGAGUAGUGGACUAGUAUGGGUAAAACUCUAUUAAGGAUUGUAGAGAUUACAAGGUAUUUAAUUUGUGGCGUAUUCUCUAUCAUGCAUUAUGUAUAAAUGAUUAGCAUUAAACAAAUUAAAGGGAAACUUCAAGCGAAGCCCCUAUGGUAUGGAAUGAUUAUAUUUUGGCAAAAAGCAAUGCUAAUUGUAUACUGAAAAUUGGAGACUUAUAAAAUUUACAUCCAACAUUUUGAAUAUACAAAUAACAUUUCUCUCAUAUUUUACCUCCCUUUUUGUAGCAACAUCCAAACUUCCAGGGCAAAAAGAGAUUUAGUACGUACUCUUCUUUAUAAAAGAACAAGAAACAUGAACUUAUGUCAAACUAUAUAUCGAAAAACAGAUGUAUUUUAAAAAAAUAAUAAGUCAAAUCAAUCGAAGAACUUGUACAAUCAACUUUAAACAAAAUAUACAUAAGCAUUUGACGCUGUUAAAUAUGAUGUACGAUAUAAAAUAUUGUAGUCUAUAUAGCAACAAAAAUCAUAGCUCGUACAGUUCUACAUAAAUCAUCAAGUGAGCAGUAUAUUUAUUAACUAGUUGAUAGAACAAUUGUUUAACAUUUUAGAACAAUAUGUACAAUUUUAGUCUUUUCUUUUUGAAUUUAAAAACCAUCAAAUCAAUAUGCAGGGUUUCACACACUCCUACUUGCCUUCUUUAUCUGUCAUAGAAGUACUGCUGGUCAGUUAUCACAUAACCCUAAGCCAGAAAAAUACUUACACCAAUGCACAUCUCAAACCCUAAUUUUUGUAACCAACAUUUAAGUAAAACUAUCAUAAGUAACAAAGUCCAAAUUUAAUACAACAAAACAUGAUUCCUUUCUCAAUGUCCAAAGUGGACCAAAACCAACAGCUAGCUAGCAUAGACAAAGUAAAUAUUAGUUUUAUUCAUUUUGCUAUUAUAUGGUGAGAGUGUUACACCCUCAACAGUAAGAAAUUAAGAUCAAAUUUUCGUACACAAUAAUCGAUCAACUAACUCAAGAUUUGUAUACUACGACAAAUUUAAACGGUCAAAAAUAAAUCUAGCCAUUCAAAAUCAUGAUUGUGCAGAAAGCUAAUAAAAUUGCGCGUAACAGUAUCAUUAUUAAUCUUUUAUUAUGCCAUACAGUAAUUGGUGGUGUAGAAAUUAAACUUUAAUUUGUUACUUCACAAUAAAAGCUAGAUGAUGCAGUCCUACCAUCAUUUGCUAAUUAUCAUUUAUGAAAUUAAAAAAGAAAAACAAGGAAAUAUAGCAUAUUAAUGUAAGAAAAGACACUUUUCUCCUCAAAAUUAAUGUAAGACAGACACACAUGCAUAUACAUACACACAGACACACACACAGACACUCACACACACAAAAGUACACUUAUAUUUUUUAUGAGUUACAGAUUCACAGACAAGCAAAUUGAGUAAGUAGCAGCAAUUUAAAGUAGAUUACAAGCUGGAUCAUUUAAUUUGAAGGAGCAAAAAUAGAGUGCUAAAAAGAAAUGGAAAUAGAAGUGCAACUAAUUACAACCAUUAACCAUGGAAUUAGUUAUCAAAAUUAGCAUUCUAAUAUUUGGACAUGUAACUACACAAGUAUCUCUCCCAACACCAUAUCUUCCUAUUCUCAUUUUCUUAGAACUCUGAUCAUUAAUAUAUAGUUUGCAUGCAUUAAGAACACAAGAUUAAUUUCUCAUGUAUCUAGAUUAAUUGUGGAGUCAUGUGUAAACUAAACUCUACAUUCAUUAAUCCUCCACUCUGACAACUUGCCUAACUUAGCAUUGUAUUCUUAUGAUACUCACCUAUACACAUGUAGUAUACAUUAUCAUAUAAAACUAGAGAGGGAGAGACAGAGAGAAUGCAGUUGGUAUAUUACAAAAUCAUGGUCAAUUAAUAUUUUGAUCUUUUGAUCAGAAGGAAAUGGUGAGAGACAAAUGAGAAAUAUUAAAGCAUGUGUCCUAGCUUCACUAAUUAAUGUACAAUCUCUUCUUUCAUUAAUUCCCCUUCUUUCCUAUAUUCAGCCUUUCUUUCCUAUAUUCAGCCUCAGAAGAGGGGGAGCAAAUGAUUUGAAGGAUAAAAUUACUACACCCAUCAGUUCCAACCAUCAAUGCAGCUUCAAAACUCAACACAUUAAUUGCUCAGAGAGAGAGAGAGAGAGAGAGAGAGAGAGAGAUUCAUAUAUGAAGGUCAUGAUCUCCACAGCUAUAAUAUGUUAAUGAGUAUAUUAAAUCUUGGUGUUUCCUUACUUCAAUGCCAUGCACACAGCAUGGAGAACGGGCUCCAAUAAAAAGCAAAAACAAAACCCUCUAAAGAAGUUGCCAAUGUAAUUUAAUGCUUCUCUUUGCGCUUAAAUUCCUUUAGUCUACUGCUUGUUUUGCCUGUAGAUGAUCAUCACUCUCAUAAAACAAGCAAAGAACUUAUAGCGAGAGAGAGAGAGAGAGAGAGAGAGAGAGAGAGAGAGAUGUGUUGAAGUUAACAUGUAACCAAUUAAACCCUAACAAACUAGCAAGCUGAUCUUCAAUGUCCAAACUUGUUUCUUUCUCUCUCUCUCUCUCUCUCUCUCUCUCUCUCUCUUUGCUAGGGUACGUGUUAUUAUCUCAACUAUUAUGGUCUAGGGUGGUGUGGGAAGAACUGAGUACCAGCCAUGAAAGCACUGAGAGGUGUCGGAUACUGCAGCGACGACGACGACAAAUUCGGCGCAUCCAACAUCCCCGCCGACACAACUGCGCUGGGCCCUGCCGCCAUCGACCCGCUCACUGCCGCCGCCGCCGCUGCGAGAGCAGCUGCAGGCGGCGUAGACGACGACGGUUCGGGCCCUUGGUCGUAAAGAAUUCCCCUAAACACGUGCCCGCCGAUCCUGACCGCCGUCUGGUACGCCAGCUCGUCCUCCGCCGCCGCCGCCGCCUCGUCCAUCGUGCUCACCCGCACGCACCGGAACACCGCCGGCGAGCUCACCUCCGCCGGAAAACUCACUCCCUCCAUCCCUAACAGUACACUCAAAAUAAGUUUUAAGUUUUUCAGAAAUCGUCGAUCUAAUAGGAAAUGAUUCAGAAAUAGCUUUUGAGUAGCGCUACUACGCGUACCUGCGGAGGCGACGGCGGGUGUUGCGGCGGGGCGGGGGCAAAUUUCUCGGGGCCGCUUGGAGGUGUCGGGAGCGGCGGCGGCGGCGGCGAGGCGGCGAGGGUUGUGGAGGGCGGCGGCGGCGGCGGCGAGAUGCUGCUGGCGUUCGCGGCGCUUGGAGGCGGGGACCCACGUGCUCUUGACGUGGGUGGGGCACUGGAAGCCCCGGCUCUUGCAGCACGUCCGGCACCGCAUGUGCGCGCAGUCUUUCUUCGCCUGGUUGCCGCAGUCCUGACAGCUCACCCCUCCCCCUCCGCCGCCGCCGCUGCUGCCGGCAGCAGCAGCACCGCCGCUCCGCCCUCCUCCUCCUCCUCCUCUCAUUACAAUCCUCCCGGCCGGCAGCUGAUGGUCAGAAGAAAAGCCGAUGAGCGCUGCUGCUGCUGCUGCGGACGAGGGAAGCUGGGGGUGGUGGUGGUGCUGCCAUAAUUCGAAGCCCCGGGGGUAGGAGAUGUCCGGCUGCUGAUUGGUUCCGCCGCCGAAGAGGAAGAGACUGUCGGGAGGGAUCACGGCGGCGGCUGCUGCUGCUGCUGCGUGUUGGUGUUGUUGCUCGUUUUCUCCUCCUUCGCUGCCGCGGCGGCCUCCGCCUAGAGAGAACCCGGCCAUUCUCUCCCAUCCAUUAGCAGCUUAAUUAACCCGCCACCCUCUCUAUACCCCUCUCUUCUCCUUCUCCUUCUCCUUCUCCUUCUCCUUCUCCUUCAGCUUCUUUAAGAAAAGGGUGAGGAUAGAGAUUUUUUUUUUUUCUCUUCUCUUGUUUUGGUUUUAAACACCUUUUCUUUUCUAUUACCUCUGAGUGAGAAGAGGCGCGGCAGAAGCAGAAAACUGCUGCUGCUGCUGCAGCUGCUGUGGGGCUCUCUCUCUCUCUCUCUCUCUCUCUUUCUCUCUAGAUCUGUAUUUUUUUAAUUUUUAUUUUUUGUUUCUAUCUCUUUCCAGUCCUGUGUUGUUUCUUCUUGAAUUCUCCACCACCCCUCUCUCUCUCUCUCUCUCUUUUUUUUUUUUUCCUUGUUUUAUAUAUGGAGGGGGUGGGGGAUAUUUAAGACACGGAAUUAGAGCCACUGCAACGCCGCCAUGGACACUGCAACCUAAGCUGUUGCUUCAUCAAUCCCAUUUAUGAUACCCCUUCUUUUUCUCUCUCUCUCUCUCUCUCUCUCUCUCUCUCUCUUUCUAACCCUAUCACGGGAAAUGGCCAAAGCACCAUUCCCUCCAGGAAAGGCAUCGCGUUACUUUUGAUGAAUACUAUUUUAGUAGAUCUACAGAAAAAGAAAAAAUUUAAUACUAAAUCUAUAUAACCAACAAAAAAAAAAAUUUAUAAUCCCUGCAACAUAUUCUCUUUAAAAGUCUCUACUGUUGACUUGAAAAAACUCCAAAAAACCUCUCUUGUGGUAUCUUUUUUUCUAAUUUUAGUAUCAUCUGGUUUAAAGUAUAUCAAGUUAGUUUAUAAUUUCGCACUUUCUUAUUUUAAUAUCCUAUGAUUUAAAGUGUAUCAAGUUAGUACCCUGUGUUUUCGCACUUUCUCACUUUAGUACCCUGUGGUUUAAUAUUUUAUUCGAAAAAAAAUAAAAUUAUAGGGUACUAACUUGAUAUAAAAAUAAAACCACAGAGUAUUAAAUUGAUACAAAAAUAAAAUCACAGAGUACUAAUUUAAUACACUUUAAACCACAGGGUACUAAAGUGAGAAAGUGCGAAACCACAUGGUACUAACUUGAUACACUUUAAACCACAUGGUACGAAAAUGAAAAAGUGCGAAACCACGGAAAGUCUUUUUUUUUAAUUUUUUCCUUUUUAUUUUUUUUAGUUUCAAUAUAAAAAAGAAAUGUGAUUAAUUAAUAAAGAAUGGGCCGAAAAGUAACUGAACACAUCUCAAAUUCUCUCGAUAUAAUAGUACAGCCAAAAAAAAUUUGAAUCACCGACUGUCUCUAGAGAAAGUGGCAAAGGGCUUGGUGGUUGGCACCCGAGACCUAAGUUCGAAUCUAAUUGAUUCACAUUUCUAGCUAAGUUUAUUUCUAAAUGAAAUAAACGAAAUGGUUACCAUGCUACCUAUCCCUCAAAAAAAAGAAAAAGAAAAUUUGAAUAUUACAAUAAAGAUUGAGAAGACUAACGUGCGAAUAACAAAACAAUAAAGAGAACAAAAACAUAAGAAAUUAGCGGGAUUCAGACAAUGAUGUCGAGCUA